This 72-nucleotide transfer RNA is filed under the name Candidatus Woesearchaeota archaeon. RNAcentral's name for it is "tRNA-Val". It matches the Rfam family "tRNA". Rfam says of the family: Transfer RNA (tRNA) molecules are approximately 80 nucleotides in length. Lineage: Archaea; Nanobdellati; Candidatus Woesearchaeota. The record is from RNAcentral.
GGGCCUGUGGUUUAGUGGUAUAACGUUGCUUUCACAGAGCAAAGGUCACCGGUUCAAAUCCGGUCAGGCCCA